AUUGAACGCUGGCGGCAGGCCUAACACAUGCAAGUCGAACGAGUGGCGGACGGGUGAGUAAUGUCUGGGAAACUGCCUGAUGGAGGGGGAUAACUACUGGAAACGGUAGCUAAUACAGCAUACCAUCGGAUGUGCCCAGCUGGGAUUAGCUAGUAGGUGGGGUAAAGGCUCACCUAGGCGACGAUCCCUAGCUGGUCUGAGAGGAUGACCAGCCAAACUGUAACUGAGACUCGGUCCAGACUCCUACGUGGGGCAGCAGUGGGGAAUAGUGCACAAUGGGAGCAAGCCUGAUGCAGCCAUGCAGCGUGUAUGAAGAAGUCCUUCGGGUUGUAAAGUACUGUCAGCGGGGAGGCGUUACCCGCAGAAGAAGCACCGGCUAACUCCGUGCCAGCAGCCGCGGUAAUUC
Molecule: ribosomal RNA, 406 nt
Filed under: uncultured bacterium
Lineage: Bacteria
Description: partial 16S ribosomal RNA
Rfam family: Bacterial small subunit ribosomal RNA
Source: RNAcentral